AGGAAUUGGCGGGGGAGCACCACAAGGGGUGCGGCGUGCGGUUUAAUCUAACUCAACGCAGAGCAUCUCACUAGCGGCGCCGGCAGGAUGAAGGUCAGUCUGAAGGGCUUACCUGACGAGCCGAGAGGUAGUGCAUGGCCGCCGGCAGCUCGUGCUGUAAAGUGUCCAGCUAAGCCUGGUAACGAGCGAGACCUGCGUCUAUACUUGCUAACGGCAGAAUCCUGGACCGAGCACUGUAUAGAGACUGCUUCGGUAACGAAGAGGAAGGCGCAGGCUACGGUAGGUCUGUAUGCUCCGAAUCUGCUAGGCUACACGCGCGCAACAAUGGAUGCGACAAUGGGCUGCAACACCGAAAGGUGAAGCCAAACCUCCAAACGCAUUCCAAGUCCAGAUCGCGGUUUGUAACUCAGCCGCGUGACGUCGGAAUCCCUAGUAAUCAGGUUUUAUCAUAGCCUGGUGAAUAUGUCCCUGCUCCUUGCACACACCGCCCGUC
This 493-nucleotide ribosomal RNA is filed under the name uncultured euryarchaeote. RNAcentral describes it as "bacterial SSU rRNA". It matches the Rfam family "Archaeal small subunit ribosomal RNA", at positions 860 to 1354 of the family's 1478-position model. Lineage: Archaea; Methanobacteriati; Methanobacteriota. The record is from RNAcentral.